ACGAUGCUGUCUGUCAGUAAGGUGAAACGAUUUAGUUUGUAUCAUUACAUAAUUAAUUGUAUACAAUACAGCACAGACUUGUCCUUCUACUUAUGCUAAAUGUAGAAAUGGCAUCCAAUGUUUCCCAUUACAAGAUCUGUGUGAUGGGGAUAACACUUACUGCCUUGAUCAAAGUGACGAAGAUCCUGACUUUUGUAGAGGUAAGGGCUGAACUUGUAUAUAUUAUCAUUUGAUACAUAUGUAUGUAAGAUGGGAAAAUACAACCAAUAAGAUUGACAUGCAAAUGUUGCCAUUUGAAUCUGGAUUACUGAUAUUAAAAGUUAUCAGUAUUUCGUAAAUGUUUAUUGAUGAAUUUAAUAUAUAUUGUAUAUGUCUAUUAAUGUAGGUGUCAGAAAGCUAUUUCCUUUGUAGAAUAUUUGCAUUUAAAAAAUAAAUAGCACUCGUUAUGUAAUUAUAAUGGUUUUUUUUCUAUUUGUUUUAUCAUUGUUGUCUGUAUUUGACUUUAUGUAUAGUUAGAUAAAUUAUUAUGUUACCCUCUUUGUACCUGUGGCCAUUUAUUUUGGGGAAUUUAUGUAUCUAGAUAACUGUAGAUUCAUUUAUUUUCGUGGGUACCAAUUCUUGUGGAAAGAGGAAAACUUGCAUAAUCAUGGAUAUUUGAAUUCGUAGUUUUGACAAAGUCAACAUGCAUUUCUUUAGAAAAAUUUGCAUAGCGUUGAUCAUUUCAAUUCGUUUUGUCCAAGAAAUCCACGAAAAUUGGUGUCCGACGAAUACUAAUGACUCAACAGUAUCAGAAGAUGAGGUGUGAGUACCAAUAAGACCACUUUCCAUUCAGGUUACAACCUAAGAAUAACCUCUAAGAUAUUAAAAUACCGUCUUCAAUACGGAACUUAGGCUCAAACGGAACAGCAAGCUAUAAAAUGCCCUAACUAGUGUAAAACCAUUCAUUUGAGUAUCUGUUUUUGUAAUAGAUCAAAAUUGUGAGCCUGGUUACACUAAGUGUAGGGAUGGUGUACACUGUUUCAUGUCUCAAUGGCUCUGUGAUCGUGCAGGAACAUAUAAUUGUCCAGACCAUAGUGACGAAGACCCAGAGUUCUGUAAACGUGAGUAAAUUUUAGGUACUAGUAUAUGAAAAAAUUAUCUGCAUUCGCCGUAUGGAAUUAUGAAUAAAUUUGGUGAUCGUGCGACCUCGUGCAAUUCCAUGCAUAUUAAUCCUUAUUUUUGUCUGUCAAGCCGAUAAUCGAUAGCUUACGUAUAUUCGAAUUCAAAAAAUCCAUUUAAGAAAAACAUAUGAAUGUAAAUGAUUACCCUUUAGAGAUUCACAUGAAAUACUGCUUUCCCAAUCAGCAGACAUCAUUAUUAUGUUGUACUGUUAUACCACUGUCCCAGGUUAGGGAAGGUUGGGAUUCCGCUAACAUGUUUAACCCGUCACAUUAUUUAUGUGUGUGCCUGUCCCAAGUCAGGAGCCAGUACUUCAGUGGUUGUCGUUUGUUUAUGUGUUACAUAUUUGUUUUUCGUUCAUUUUUGUAUUUAUAGGAGGCAAUUAGUUUCUCGUUUGAAUUGUUUAACAUUGUCAUAUCGGGGCCAUUUAUAGAUGACUAUGCGGUAUGGGCUUUGCUCAUUGUUGAAGGCCGUACGGUGACCUAUAGUUGUUAAUGUCUGUGUCAUUUUGGUCACUUGUGGACAGUUGUCUCAUUGGCAAUCAUCCCACAUCUUCUUUUCUAUAGAGUAUAGAUUGAUCGGGUCGAAAGCAGAAUUUAUAUGUCUUAGUAUGAUGGCAGGUGUACCUUCGAAUUAUUUCAUUUUUAUUUCACUUACAUAACGCACACCAUGUCUAGUAAGUACAAUUCAGGCUACAGUAUCGAUGUUCAGAUCUCGAAAGCGACUAGGGAGAGAAAUAUCAAUGUAACAAAUUAAAAAAGAGGAGACCACACGAACUCUAAAAUGAGUUAGACAUGUUACGAGAAACCGUUAUCUGUUUUAAUGCAUCACAGCAAUGCCAAUUUACGCUUUAAAAAAUAUCACCAUCAGAAAAAGAAAACAAUCGGUAAGAUUACAGAUCUCUUGUCUAUUCUAACAUCUAAAAAAUCGAAUACUUCAAAAACAUGUCGAAAGUGAGUUCAAUCAAAAAGAUAUGAGUUUAAUGUUAUAUAUAACAUUGCCAUAAAAGCGGAAGGUUUGGCAUACCACAAAACCAGGUUCAAUCCACCUUUUUGUUAUAAAAAUGUCCUGUACCAAGUCAGGGAAAUGGCCAUUGUAAUAUUAUAGUUCGUUUCUGUGGGUUAGAUUUUAAUGUUGUGUUACUGUUGUGUCGUAGUUCUCCUCUUAUAUUAGAUAUGUUUCCCUCAGUUUUAGUUUGUAACUCGAGUAGUUUUUAAUUGUCAAUCGAUUUAUGAAUUUCCAACAGCGGUAAACUACUGUUGCCUUUAUUUAUGUCGAUCAAGGAAUUCUUGAUCAAGACCGUAACAACAAUGUACUGUCGAUUUCAGUUGUUCUUUCUCAAAAUCCUGUUUUAAUGCCAGGUGCACGUGCAUACACAUGUAAAUUAAGUCCGUAUACUCAAAACAUGUAUAAGCGUAGCGUAAUAAUCAAUAUAGAUAAACUAUAAAGAAAUACAGAAUUGACAAUUAUAAAUCUUAAAUAAUCACGAUUGGCAUAUAUUCUAGUACUCUUAUGUUCUAUUAUAUGUCUUUUUGUCUUUUUCUUUUUUCUAGCCAUAAUGUGUUUGUUUCUUUUUCGAUAUGUGAGUUUUAAUGUCCCUCUGCUACCUUUCGCUCUUCUUUUGAAACCGUCCAUAUUUGUCAAUACCAAGUCAACAUGUGUAGGAGAUAUACUUUUGCAUAAUGUCAAUGUCACUUAAAUACAGGUUAUUCGUGUAUAUAUUUAGGAAAGGAGUAGGUCCAGUAAGGCCUCUUUUUGCCCACAAAAUAUAGCAGUUUUACAAAAUUGUUAACAUGUAAAAUUUUAGUUAUUUAUUGGAAUUAGAAUGCUUCUGCUACAUACAUAUGGGCUGUUUUUGAAUAUACAAAGCACAUAUAUCGGGUACUAGCAUCAUUAAGUCAUUCUAAAUUAGUGAAAAUCAAAUCUUUACAAUUUUAGUUUUUUUAUUAAAUUUUAGACGGUUUCCGUCUUAAACGAAAGUGGCCGAAUUUGUGUUCAUUCUUAAUAUUGAAAUGUAAGUUGUAUUUGAUGAUAAUAAUAAACAUAUAUAAGGGUUGAGGAUGAACACGGAUGCGGCGACUGUCAUUUUUGACAAAAAACAUCUGAAAAGUGACAUUUUUUGGCGUAUUUGAUAGAUUUUUCAUAUUUAAGCUUGAAUCGAAGCGUUUUUAAUGAGUAAAUCAGUUAAAAUCCUUCGCAUAAACUUAUUGAGUCAACUGAAAUAGACAAUAGUGUUUAAAAAGUGUUCCAAAAUCUUUCGUCAGAUAAACCUAAAAUUUGAGGCAAAAAUAGGCCCUUCCCGGACCUACUCCUUUGGACGAUUAAAUAAAGCUGUUAUGAGCUAGCUUUAUCCGUGCUUGUCCCGGUAUUCACUCGAUUAUAGAUGUAUUGAACCAGACUGAACGAAUAACAAUACAAUACUCAUGACCAACAGUGAACAUUACCUCCUGAUUAAAUCUUAGAGCACAUUAUUCUUAUGUAUCUGUUUAACAACAGAAAUAUUUAUUUCAAUCUUCGACUUUACAUAGCUUAUUCGUUUGAGAAGAUUUCCUCCCAAACUGUCCUGAUUUUAACAUCUGUUACUGUUUAUAUUCUCAAAUCAAAUUGUUGGUCCUCCUCAUCAUCCAAAACAUUUAAUACAAUAAUUUCCUUAAAGUUGAUACUAUAGGGUUAUUGCAUGAAUAUUGGGGAAUAUUGUCCCGAGUAGAAUUUUAUAUUGCAUCAGACAUCUUAAUAUAAGACAUCCAUUUAGAGUGUGCCAUUUGAUACAUGCAAAAAAACAAAGUUCUGUGAAGGGACACACUCAUCAUUAAACCACUAGAGUUCUGACAAUAAAAUGCGUGUUUAAUUAUUCAAAAUAAACUCCGAACUAGACGAAAGAUACUCAAGAGAACGGUGUUUUAAGUUAUGACUAAAUUAGUUUACCGAUAUUCGAAUAUCGUAAACCGAUUUGGAAAAGCACGGUGAGCUUGGACGUUAUACGAUUACCCUCCCGGAGCACCUGAGAUCACCCUUAGUUUUUGUUGUGGUUCGCGUUGCUUAUUCUUUAGUUUUCUAUGUUGUGUCAUGUGUUCUAUUGUUUGUCUGUUUGUCUUCAUUCGUUUUUGGCCAGGCGUUGUCAGUUUAUUUUCGAUUUAUGAGUUUGACUGUCCCUCUGGUAUCUUUCGUCCCUCUUUUACUAACAUAAGGUUUGUAGUGUUUCUGAUGGAUUGCAGGUCUAUGGAUAAGACUGUUUUACUUGAAAGACACGAAUGGAACUUUCUCUCAUUUCUUUAAAAUUCAUCAAAUUUAACAAGUAAUUGUUUCAAAAACUGAAAUUGUUUGCUAAGUCAUGAUAGUUUAACCACAAUUAGAUGGUAAUGGGUGUUUUAUUGUGGACCUUUCUUGAUUUUAAGUUCAAAUGUUUUUUUCUUCUAUUUUCGUAAGAGUAUUUGAUGCCGGUUAUUCUCAGCGGUCGAACUGGGUUUUUGAAAGAGGUCAAUCGCAGAAUGAUGUAUCUAUCCUGCAGAGAGGAUCAAUUCGUAAUAAAUUUUAAACGAUUUAAUGUUAAAAUAUCUUAUAAAACGUGUAAAAGAUCAGAUUGUCGUACAACCAAAGACAAUAACAAUCAAAACCAAGGAGUAAACAGACUCACAAAACCAAAGGACAUUUACAUCAACAGUUAUAAGCAAUAAAUAAGAAACAACACGAACUCCACUAAAAACCGGGAGUGGAAUCAGGUGCUUCGGAAGGGUACGCAUUUUCUGCACCGUAUACGGCACCCGUCGUGUUAUCUCUUUGUUCAGUUCGGUAAUGAUGGAAAGUUAUUAUGACUGAGGAAGAAUAACAGAUAUGAUUUCUGACACAUUUUUGUCAUAAUGGCCAAUCAGCUCAUGAUGGCGACCGUAAAAUUUCUUGAGUGAUGACCUUAAUUUGAUUGAUUCAUAGCCCUUUCUUAGCAUCUUUUGAGAAAUCAGUUCUUCGUUCAACAAAAUCAACGUACUUUGAGCUAGCCUGUAGAGUAACGUAAAAAGAUAAAGAAAUGAUAGGAAGGAAGUAACGGGUUGUUAAAAAUAUUGAGAAAUAUAUUUGUAUAAAUGUCUAUGCAUCCGAAAUGUUUAAGUAAAUUUAUCUUCAUAACGAACGAUUAAAGCCAAAUGAUGUUCGUAUUAUUGGAAACUUAUAUAGAAUAUCAAUUAUAUUUCGAGUGAAAAACAAACAUUGCAUGUGACUGUCAUACAAAUGAGAGGGUUAGCCAGCUGUAAAACCAUGUUUUCUCCAUCAUUUUCUACAUAAGAAUUGUCCUCGCAGGUCGGUAUUUUUGUUGUUUUACUUUUUUAUAUUAGUAUUUGUAAAACUUAUUACAGAACAAAGUUGUCCUGAAUUUGAUGGCUGGGGUGGCUGGAAUGGUUGGAGGAAAUGUCGGGACGGAAAACAAUGUUUCAACGCAAAAGGCUUAUGUGAUGGCGACCCUGCGUAUUGUAAUGAUGAAAGUGACCAGGACCCAGAUUUUUGUAAAAGUAUUUAUCAUCUAUUAUCUAUCAUGAUUUCAUUGAUAAAGGAUUGCUGCUCAAAAGGAAGCUAUUAAACCAGUAGUUCCAAAUGGUGAUGUUGAAAUCAUCCCUUUGUAAAUUUUACGCCAUCACGAGUUGGUUGACCGUUAUGAAAUAACCGUUUCACAGAUGAUAUCGGAUAUGUUCCGUGCUACCAAUAAGAAUAUUAACCUGAUUUGAAAUAACAUGAGCAAAUGACGGGUGCCCCAUGUGGAACAGGAUCAGCUUAUCCUUUGAAGCACCUGAGGUCCCCGAGUUUUUGGUGGGGUUCGAGUUGCUUAGUUUUUAGUUUUCUAUGCUGUGUCUUCUGUACUAUUAUUUGUCUGUUUGUCUUUUUAUUUUUAGCCAUGGCGUUGUCAGUUAAUUUUCAAUCUUUGAGUUUGACUGUCCCUCUGGUAUCUUUCGUCCCUCUUUUUUUUUUAUAUAAAUGCCAUUACUGCAAAGUGCAUGAAUAUAAAAAAAAGAUGUGGUAUGAUUGCCAAUGAAAUAACUCUCCACAUGAGACCAAAUGAAAAAGAUAUAGUUCCUUACAUUUUCUACAUUAAUUUCAUAAAAAAAAUCAUUUGCCAAUGUAAUAAAAAGAAUAAUAAUCGCCGUAUUUGAAUUCAAAAAUAAGACAAUUGUGACCGACGCCGCUAUGGAUUAAACUCGUGCUGCGCACUCUUUAAUCAUGCGCGUCGUCACGCGUGUCUUAUUUUUGAUAUUCAAAUACGGCAUUAGUUAUACUAUUUAUCAAAAGUAAUAAGAAAAAUACCGCGUUCAAAGGUAAAGUGGUAAAAGGGGAACCCAAGCUAGGUAUAGGAAGAUGUGGUAUGAGUACCAAUGAGACAACUCUCCAUCCAAAUAACAAUUUAUAAAAGUUCACCAUUAUAGGUCAAGGUACGGCCUUCAACACGGUGCCUUGGCUCACACCGAACAACAAGCUAUUAAGGGCCCCAAAAUUGUAUGAUUUUUUAAAAAAUAUCAAGAUCUAAGUGGAACACAGCUGUUUUAUGUGUCUUUGGAUAACUGUAUACAUAAUAUGCUUUUCUUAAUCUGUCUUUUAUAUUACUUUGAUAACAGACCAAACAUGCAGUGAAGGCUAUAUUAGAUGUCGUGAUGGUAAUGAAUGCUUCCUUAAUCUGUCUCUUAUAUUACUUUGAUAACAGACCAGACAUGCAGUGAAGGCUAUAUUAAAUGUCGUGAUGGUAAUGAAUGCUUUCCUUUGUGGGGAUUAUGCGAUGGUGACUAUAGAGGGGGUACCUGGUAUAACUGUAACGAUUGGAGUGAUGAAGAUCCGGCA
Molecule: long non-coding RNA, 6972 nt
Filed under: Mytilus galloprovincialis (Mediterranean mussel)
Lineage: Eukaryota; Metazoa; Mollusca; Bivalvia; Mytilida; Mytilidae
Source: RNAcentral